CAGCCGCCGCGGUAAUACGUAGGGUGCGAGCGUUAAUCGGAAUUACUGGGCGUAAGGCGUGCGCAGGCGGUUGUGUAAGACAGGUGUGAAAUCCCCGGGCUUAACCUGGGAACUGCGCUUGUGACUGCACAGCUAGAGUAUGGCAGAGGGGGGUGGAAUUCCACGUGUAGCAGCGAAAUGCGUAGAGAUGUGGAGGAAUACCGAUGGCGAAGGCAGCCCCCUGGGCCAAUACUGACGCUCAUGCACGAAAGCGUGGGGAGCAAACAGGAUUAGAUACCCCAGUAGUCCCUGUCUCUUAUAC
Molecule: ribosomal RNA, 301 nt
Filed under: uncultured bacterium
Lineage: Bacteria
Description: partial 16S ribosomal RNA
Rfam family: Bacterial small subunit ribosomal RNA
Source: RNAcentral